GACGAACGCUGGCGGCGUGCUUAACACAUGCAAGUCGAACGGUGAAGCGCCUUCCUUUUUGGUGGGUGUGGAUGAGUGGCGAACGGGUGAGUAACACGUGAGUAACCUGCCCCCUUCUUCUGGAUAACCGCAUGAAAGUGUGGCUAAUACGGGAUAUUCUGGGUCUGUCGCAUGAUGGGUCUGGGAAAGAUAUUGUUUCGGUGGGGGAUGGGCUCGCGGCCUAUCAGCUUGUUGGUGGGGUGAUGGCCUACCAAGGCGGUGACGGGUAGCCGGCCUGAGAGGGUGGACGGUCACACUGGGACUGAGACACGGCCCAGACUCCUACGGGAGGCAGCAGUGGGGAAUAGUGCACAAUGGGCGCAAGCCUGAUGCAGCGACGCCGCGUGAGGGAUGGAGGCCUUCGGGUUGUGAACCUCUUUCGCCAGUGAAGCAGGCCUGCCUCGUUUGUGGGUGGGUUGACGGUAGCUGGAGAAGAAGCGCCGACUAACUACGUG
This 494-nucleotide ribosomal RNA is filed under the name uncultured bacterium. Its description in RNAcentral is "partial 16S ribosomal RNA". It matches the Rfam family "Bacterial small subunit ribosomal RNA", at positions 28 to 507 of the family's 1533-position model. The record is from RNAcentral.